RNAcentral lists this ribosomal RNA (460 nucleotides) under uncultured bacterium. RNAcentral's name for it is "partial 16S ribosomal RNA". It matches the Rfam family "Bacterial small subunit ribosomal RNA", at positions 338 to 795 of the family's 1533-position model. The record is from RNAcentral.
CCUACGGGAGGCAGCAGUGAGGAAUAUUGGUCAAUGGACGAGAGUCUGAACCAGCCAAGUAGCGUGCAGGAUGACUGCCCUAUGGGUUGUAAACUUCUUUUAUAUGGGAAUAAAAUGUUCCACGUGUGGGCUUUUGUAUGUACCAUAUGAAUAAGGAUCGGCUAACUCCGUGCCAGCAGCCGCGGUAAUACGGAGGAUCCGAGCGUUAUCCGGAUUUAUUGGGUUUAAAGGGAGCGUAGGUGGAUUGUUAAGUCAGUUGUGAAAGUUUGCGGCUCAACCGUAAAAUUGCAGUUGAAACUGGCAGUCUUGAGUACAGGAGAGGUGGGCGGAAUUCGUGGUGUAGCGGUGAAAUGCUUAGAUAGCACGAAGAACUCCGAUUGCGAAGGCAGCUCACUGGACUGCAACUGACACUGAGGCUCGAAAGUGUGGGUAUCAAACAGGAUUAGAUACCCCUGUAGUC